UAGAGUUUGGAUCUGGCUCAGGAUGAACGCCGGCGGUGUGCCUAAUACAUGCAAGUCGAACGCGUUGGCCCAAUUGAUUGAUGGUGCUUGCACCUGAUUGAUUUUGGUCGCCAACGAGUGGCGGACGGGUGAGUAACACGUAGGUAACCUNCCCAGAAGCGGGGGACAACAUUUGGAAACAGAUGCUAAUACCGCAUAACAACGUUGUUCGCAUGAACAACGCUUAAAAGAUGGCUUCUCGCUAUCACUUCUGGAUGGACCUGCGGUGCAUUAGCUUGUUGGUGGGGUAACGGCCUACCAAGGCGAUGAUGCAUAGCCGAGUUGAGAGACUGAUCGGCCACAAUGGGACUGAGACACGGCCCAUACUCCUACGGGAGGCAGCAGUAGGGAAUCUUCCACAAUGGGCGCAAGCCUGAUGGAGCAACACCGCGUGAGUGAAGAAGGGUUUCGGCUCGUAAAGCUCUGUUGUUAAAGAAGAACACGUAUGAGAGUAACUGUUCAUACG
This 505-nucleotide ribosomal RNA is filed under the name Limosilactobacillus fermentum. RNAcentral's name for it is "bacterial SSU rRNA". It matches the Rfam family "Bacterial small subunit ribosomal RNA", at positions 1 to 474 of the family's 1533-position model. Lineage: Bacteria; Bacillati; Bacillota; Bacilli; Lactobacillales; Lactobacillaceae. The record is from RNAcentral.